Molecule: ribosomal RNA, 89 nt
Filed under: Caerostris darwini
Lineage: Eukaryota; Metazoa; Arthropoda; Arachnida; Araneae; Araneidae
Source: RNAcentral
UCCGGUUCUCGUUAGAUCACCGAAGUCAAGCAGCAUUGGGCGCGGUUAGUACUUGGGUGGGUGACCACUUGGGAACACCGCGUGCCGUU